Molecule: ribosomal RNA, 576 nt
Filed under: uncultured organism
Description: bacterial SSU rRNA
Rfam family: Bacterial small subunit ribosomal RNA
Source: RNAcentral
CUUGCUGAUGUAAGUAAAGUGGCGCACGGGUAAGUAACGCGUGGGUAAUCUGUCCCUGGGUACGGGAUAGUCGGUGAAAGCGUGCUAAUACCGGAUACAUCAUUGGGCUUUGGUUCAAUGAUUAGGUGAGCCUCUCCAUGGAAGCUAUUGCUUGGGGGUAAGCCCGCGUACCAUUAGCUGGUUGGUAUGGUAAUGGCCUACCAAUGCGACGAUUGUUAGCUGGUCUGAGAGGAUGAUCAGCCACACUGGAACUGAGAGACGGUCCAAACUCCUACGGGAGGCAGCAGUGAUGAAUUUUGCGCAAUGGUGGUAACCCUGACGCAGCAACGCCGCGUGAGUGAUGAAUGCCUUCGGGUCGUAAAGCUCUGUCAAGUGGGAAGAAUCCAUCCUGGCCCAACACGUUGGGGUGUUGACGGUACCACUGAAGGAAGCACCGGCUAACUCCGUGCCAGCAGCCGCGGUAAUACGGAGGGUGCAAGCGUUAUUCGGAAUUAUUGGGCGUAAAUGGCGCGUAUGCGGCCAGGCAAGUCAGAUGUGAAAUCCCGGGGCUUAACCCCGGUAGUGCAUUUGAAACUG